Molecule: transfer RNA, 72 nt
Filed under: Ixodes scapularis (black-legged tick)
Lineage: Eukaryota; Metazoa; Arthropoda; Arachnida; Ixodida; Ixodidae
Rfam family: tRNA
About the family: Transfer RNA (tRNA) molecules are approximately 80 nucleotides in length.
Source: Rfam by way of RNAcentral
GCCUGGUUAGCUCGGUUGGUAGAGCACUCCACUAGAAAUGGAGAGGUCCGGGUUCGAUACGCGGACCAGGCG